RNAcentral lists this non-coding RNA (220 nucleotides) under Alkalihalobacillus pseudalcaliphilus. RNAcentral describes it as "Bacillus pseudalcaliphilus T-box sequence". It matches the Rfam family "T-box leader". From Rfam's summary of the family: Uncharged tRNA acts as the effector for transcription antitermination of genes in the T-box leader family. Lineage: Bacteria; Bacillati; Bacillota; Bacilli; Caryophanales; Bacillaceae. The record is from RNAcentral.
UUUGAAACAAAGGACUAGUAGCUUAGACUUGGAUAUUUAGAGAGCUGACGGUUGGUGCAAGUCAGUCGAAGAGUUAAGUGAACUCCCCUUUUAGUCUUGAGAGUGAAUGAAAAGUAAUUCUCGACGGGUCACCCUCGUUAACAGUGCAAAGCGGGCAAUCUUAAUGGAUUGCUAAUGUGGGUGGUACCGCGGGAAUGUUAAAUAAACUCUCGUCCCUGAU